This 460-nucleotide ribosomal RNA is filed under the name uncultured bacterium. RNAcentral describes it as "bacterial SSU rRNA". It matches the Rfam family "Bacterial small subunit ribosomal RNA", at positions 58 to 518 of the family's 1533-position model. The record is from RNAcentral.
CAAGUCGAACGGAGUUUUAAGUGGAAGUUUCGGAUGGAAGUUAAAACUAGUGGCGGACGGGUGAGUAACGCGUGGGUAACCUGCCUCAGUACAGGGGGAUAACAGUUAGAAAUGACUGCUAAGACCGCAUAAGUAUAGCGAAACCGCAUGAUUUUUGCUAUCAAAUAUUUAUAGGUAUGAGAUGGGCCCGCGUCUGAUUAGCUAGUUGGUGGGGUAAAAGCCUACCAAGGCGACGAUCAGGUAGCCGGCUUGAGAGAGUGACCGGCCACAUUGGGACUGAGACACGGCCCAAACUCCUACGGGAGGCAGCAGUGGGGAAUAUUGGACAAUGGGGGGAAACCCUGAUCCAGCGAACGCCGCGUGAGUGAAGAAGUAUUUCGGUAUGUAAAGCUCUAUCAGCAGGGAAGAUAAUGACAGUACCUGACUAAGAAGCCCCGGCUAACUACGUGCCAGCCGCAGC